This is a long non-coding RNA of Talpa occidentalis (Iberian mole), 751 nucleotides long. RefSeq lists it as uncharacterized. NCBI's taxonomy places the organism in Eukaryota, Metazoa, Chordata, Mammalia, Eulipotyphla, Talpidae. The record is from RefSeq and is a predicted model, not a curated record. The transcript has 3 exons.
CACACUGCACCCUCCCCUGUAAAGUGGGGCCCUGUCUGCCAUAUAUCCCGGACCAGGAAGCACAAGUCCAUUCAAGGACAAAGAGGAACCAGGCCGGCCAUCUCGGCAAUGAAGCUUUGUAACCAGGGCUGCCUGAGCCCAUCCACGGCCAGAAGAAAGUUCUAAAGCCCUUGCUGCUCAAGUGUGGUUUAUAAACUGGCAGCGUCAGCUGGGAGCAUGCAGGAAAUGCAGAAUCUCAGGUUCCCCAGGCCCUCUCCCCCCGACUUGGAACCUGCAUUGGAGUAAGAUGCUCCGGUGUAAAGUCUGAGAAGCUCGUUCCUGCACAGAAUACAGAAUGCGAGCAUCUCAGAGCUGGGAGCCUCAGGCAUGGGGAGAACUGCCCUCGCAGGGAUAGUCCUCCCUGAGAAAAGCCCAAUGCUGUCUUGGUCGCCAUUCCCAGGACGCCUUCCAUUUUGCUGACCUUCAUCUUUCUCUGGGGGUAAGAGCAUGGCUAGACCGUGUCUUCUUGAUUCAAGUGUUUACUGAUGGACUUUCGUGAGCUUCCGCGUCCAGCCUCAGAAAUGAUGCCACCGUGGACUCUGAAGAGCAUAGUUGUUUUCAUUGAUGGGUUAAUGUUCUUUGGCCCGAAGCCCAUGAUGGGGCUCGCUAGGGCUUCCGGUGUUUCCAUUAAAGACAAAUCCAGAUCGCUUUCCGUAGUGGCUGGGGAAGUUUAACCUCGCUGGGUCUUGUGUCUUCAUUUGUAAAAUGGAGC